CUACGGGUUGCUGCAGUGGGGAAUAUUGGACAAUGGGGGAAACCCUGAUCCAGCAAUGCCGCGUGUGUGAAGAAGGCCUGCGGGUUGUAAAGCACUUUCGGUUGGGAGGACUGCUUCUAGCACUAAUAUUGUUGGAAGUUGACGUUACCUUCAGAAGAAACACCGGCUAACUCCGUGCCAGCAGCCGCGGUAAUACGGAGGGGUGGAAGCGUUAAUCGGAAUUACUGGGCGUAAAGCGCGCGUAGGCGGCUAGAUCAGUCGGGUGUGACAGCCCCGGGCUUAACCUGGGAACUGCAUCCGAUACUGUCUAGCUUGAGUACAGGAGAGGAGAGUGGAAUUCCACAUGUAGCGGUGAAAUGCGUAGAUAUGUGGAGGAACACCAAUGGCGAAGGCAGCUCUCUGGCCUGAUACUGACGCUGAGGUGCGAAAGCGUGGGGAGCAAACAGGAUUAGAUACCCGAGUAGUC
Molecule: ribosomal RNA, 466 nt
Filed under: uncultured bacterium
Lineage: Bacteria
Description: partial 16S ribosomal RNA
Rfam family: Bacterial small subunit ribosomal RNA
Source: RNAcentral